UAAUACGGAGGGGGCUAGCGUUGUUCGGAAUUACUGGGCGUAAAGCGUACGUAGGCGGAUCUGCAAGUUGGGGGUGAAAUCCCGGGGCUUAACCCCGGAAUUGCCCUCAAAACUGUGGAUCUUGAGACCGAGAGAGGUAAGGGGAAUUCCGAGUGUAGAGGUGAAAUUCGUAGAUAUUCGGAAGAACACCAGUGGCGAAGGCGCCUUACUGGCUCGGACCUGACGCUGAGGUACGAAAGCGUGGGGAGCAAACAGGAUUAGAUACCCUGGUAGUCCACGCCGUAAACGAUGAGUGCUAGAUGUUGGGGUCCUUAGGGCUUCAGUGUCGCAGCUAACGCGUUAAGCACUCCGCCUGGGGAGUACGGCCGCAAGGUUAAAACUCAAAGGAAUUGACGG
Molecule: ribosomal RNA, 396 nt
Filed under: uncultured bacterium
Lineage: Bacteria
Description: bacterial SSU rRNA
Rfam family: Bacterial small subunit ribosomal RNA
Source: RNAcentral